Molecule: long non-coding RNA, 486 nt
Organism: Oncorhynchus tshawytscha (Chinook salmon)
Lineage: Eukaryota; Metazoa; Chordata; Actinopteri; Salmoniformes; Salmonidae
Exons: 4
Source: RefSeq, a predicted model, not a curated record
UUAGCCUUUAAUCAACUAUGGGAACAUGGCAAAUAAGCCAUUGAGUCAUUGCCACCAGCUCAGACCGCCCCUCCAUAUUACUUCAAUACACACAAUAUAUUUGGAUUUAUCCAGUUAACUGUGACCAUGACAGAAGACAAUGACUCCAGCACAAUGAAUAUCUUGGAUAUUGAUGACGACAUGUAUGUCAAGCCCAGAACAAGACAUGGCUUUCAAUACUCAGUGCAUUUUCAGUGGUGGAAGAGAUCAUUCGGAGUUGCUGCAUUGUGUCUUGGAUUGCUGUGUAUUCUCCUACUGGCUGGGAUCAUAGGCAUGUGUGUCAACUACACUGGUCAGCAUUCCCGUGAUGAAAGAGAAAAAGUGAGAGACCAGCUACAAACCAGUAAUAACAACCUGACUAAAGAGAGAGACCAGCUACAGACCAGUUAUAACAACCUGACUAAAGAGAGAGACCAGCUACAGACCAGUUAUAACAACCUGACUAAA